Molecule: long non-coding RNA, 229 nt
Filed under: Amborella trichopoda
Lineage: Eukaryota; Viridiplantae; Streptophyta; Magnoliopsida; Amborellales; Amborellaceae
Description: long non-coding RNA (ATRI_LNC001670)
Source: RNAcentral
UCGACCAUGGGGAUCAUGAAUUAAAAAAGAAUAAAAUAAAAAGUGAAAUCUUAAAAAUGACAUUUUUUAUAUUAUUUUAAUUUUUGGUAAGGCAUGCUUAUUACCGUCCAUCUUGAUAACGGAGGUUUGAUAUGUCACUGGAUGCAGCCUAAUAACUACAUUCCCCAACGCAUCAAAUAUGUUAUCUAUUUUUAGUUCCGAAGGAUCUUGGUAUAUCACAAUAUUCAUG